CGAUGAUCUCCCGCUUGCGGGGGUGAUUAGUGGCGAACGGGUGAGUAAUACGUGAGUAACCUGCCCUUGACUCUGGGAUAAGCCUGGGAAACCGGGUCUAAUACUGGAUACGACCCCCUGUCGCAUGGUGGGGGGUGGAAAGGGUUUGACUGGUUUUGGAUGGGCUCACGGCCUAUCAGCUUGUUGGUGGGGUAAUGGCUCACCAAGGCGACGACGGGUAGCCGGCCUGAGAGGGUGACCGGCCACACUGGGACUGAGACACGGCCCAGACUCCUACGGGAGGCAGCAGUGGGGAAUAUUGCACAAUGGGCGGAAGCCUGAUGCAGCGACGCCGCGUGAGGGAUGACGGCCUUCGGGUUGUAAACCUCUUUCAGCAGGGAAGAAGCCACAAGUGACGGUACCUGCAGAAGAAGCGCCGGCUAACUACGUGCCAGCAGCCGCGGUAAUACGUAGGGCGCAAGCGUUGUCCGGAAUUAUUGGGCGUAAAGAGCUCGUAGGCGGUUUGUCGCGUCUGCUGUGAAAGCCCGGGGCUCAACCCCGGGUCUGCAGUGGGUACGGGCAGACUAGAGUGCAGUAGGGGAGACUGGAAUUCCUGGUGUAGCGGUGAAAUGCGCAGAUAUCAGGAGGAACACCGAUGGCGAAGGCAGGUCUCUGGGCUGUUACUGACGCUGAGGAGCGAAAGCAUGGGGAGCGAACAGGAUUAGAUACCCUGGUAGUCCAUGCCGUAAACGUUGGGCACUAGGUGUGGGGGACAUUCCACGUUCUCCGCGCCGUAGCUAACGCAUUAAGUGCCCCGCCUGGGGAGUAC
This 808-nucleotide ribosomal RNA is filed under the name Kocuria sp. RNAcentral describes it as "bacterial SSU rRNA". It matches the Rfam family "Bacterial small subunit ribosomal RNA", at positions 67 to 883 of the family's 1533-position model. The record is from RNAcentral. Lineage: Bacteria; Bacillati; Actinomycetota; Actinomycetes; Micrococcales; Micrococcaceae.